AUUGAACGCUGGCGGCAGGCCUAACACAUGCAAGUCGAACGGUAACAGGAAACAGCUUGCUGUUUCGCUGACGAGUGGCGGACGGGUGAGUAAUGUCUGGGAAACUGCCUGAUGGAGGGGGAUAACUACUGGAAACGGUAGCUAAUACCGCAUAACGUCGCAAGACCAAAGAGGGGGACCUUCGGGCCUCUUGCCAUCGGAUGUGCCCAGAUGGGAUUAGCUAGUAGGUGGGGUAACGGCUCACCUAGGCGACGAUCCCUAGCUGGUCUGAGGGGAUGACCAGCCACACUGGAACCGAGACACGGUCCAGACUCCUACGGGAGACAGCAGUGGGGAAUAUUGCACAAUGGGCGCAAGCCUGAUGCAGCCAUGCCGCGUGUAUGAAGAAGGACUUCGGGUUGUAAAGUACUUUCAGCGGGGAGGAAGGGAGUAAAGUUAAUACCUUUGCUCAUUGACGUUACCCGCAGAAGAAGCACCGGCUAACUCCGUGCCAGCCGCCGCAGUAA
RNAcentral lists this ribosomal RNA (506 nucleotides) under uncultured bacterium. RNAcentral describes it as "partial 16S ribosomal RNA". It matches the Rfam family "Bacterial small subunit ribosomal RNA", at positions 30 to 523 of the family's 1533-position model. The record is from RNAcentral.